RNAcentral lists this ribosomal RNA (397 nucleotides) under uncultured bacterium. Its description in RNAcentral is "partial 16S ribosomal RNA". It matches the Rfam family "Bacterial small subunit ribosomal RNA", at positions 523 to 918 of the family's 1533-position model. The record is from RNAcentral.
AUACGUAGGGGGCGAGCGUUGUCCGGAAUGAUUGGGCGUAAAGGGCGUGUAGGCGGCCGAUUAAGUCUGGAGUGAAAGUCCUGCUUUCAAGGUGGGAAUUGCUUUGGAGACUGGUUGGCUUGAGUGCGGAAGAGGUAAGUGGAAUUCCCAGUGUAGCGGUGAAAUGCGUAGAGAUUGGGAGGAACACCAGUGGCGAAGGCGACUUACUGGGCCGUACCUGACGCUGAGGCGCGAAAGCGUGGGGAGCGAACAGGAUUAGAUACCCUGGUAGUCCACGCUGUAAACGAUGAAUGCUAGGUGUAGGGGGUAUCGACCCCUCCUGUGCCGGAGUAAACGCAAUAAGCAUUCCGCCUGGUGAGUACGGCCGCAAGGUUGAAACUCAAAUGAAUUGACGGGG